RNAcentral lists this long non-coding RNA (286 nucleotides) under Malus domestica (apple). RNAcentral describes it as "long non-coding RNA (MDOM_LNC019310)". Lineage: Eukaryota; Viridiplantae; Streptophyta; Magnoliopsida; Rosales; Rosaceae. The record is from RNAcentral.
GGAAGAUGAACUUGGAUUAGUUCCUUGAUGCUAGCUAUGGUUCUUGAUGAUUUGUUUUCUUGAAUGAAAUUCUAUGAGGGUCACAUAGAGGGAAGCUAAUGUUUUUCUUGUUAUUACUUUUUCAUGUUUUCUUUGUUUUGCUCGAGGACUAGCAAAAGCUAAGUAUGGGGGUAUUUGAUCGGAUCAUAUUUAUAUAUAUUUUUACUUCAAAUUCACUCGUCUUUUCUUAGUUAGUUCCUUAUAUUUUUGAGCUAUUUACGUUAUUUUUGUGUUUAUAGGAUUUGUU